RNAcentral lists this unclassified non-coding RNA (339 nucleotides) under soil metagenome. Its description in RNAcentral is "partial contains 5.8S ribosomal RNA, internal transcribed spacer 2, and large subunit ribosomal RNA". The stretch from base 1 to 120 matches the Rfam family "5.8S ribosomal RNA", at positions 35 to 154 of the family's 154-position model. The record is from RNAcentral.
GAUGAAGAACGUAGCGAAAUGCGAUACGUAGUGUGAAUUGCAGAAUUCAGUGAAUCAUCGAAUCUUUGAACGCACAUUGCACCUCUCGGUAUUCCGGGAGGUAUGCCUGUUCGAGCGUCAUUUGUACCCUCAAGCUCUGCUUGGUGUUGGGUGUUUGUUCCGCCUCUGUGUGUGAACUCGCCUCAAAACAAUUGGCAGCCGGCGUACUUGUUUCGGAGCGCAGCACAUUUUGCGAUCCAGAUCAACGUACAGCGGCAUCCAAGAAGCCUUAUUUAACGCUCUUGACCUCGGAUCAGGUAGGGAUACUCGCUGAACUUAAGCAUAUCAAUAAGCGGAGGA